GCCUCUGAGCCACACACAGGCUCAGCCCUCGAGCAGCCCUGAGGUCCACAGGGUCUGCAGGGCCACCCAGUUCUAGAUUAUACUUCCCGGCUCCACGGUCUGGAAGGUCUAAACCUUAGAGUGGCCCCAAGUGCUAAAGUUGCCUCUACCUAGCAGUGCAUGUGCCCUCACCAAGUCCCCCACUGCCAGGUGGGGGCAGGGUCAUGGGGCAAUCCCCUGCUCUACACCUGGCUUGACCUGGAGCCUCCUGAAGACACAGCCCAGACUCGGAUCCAGCCUGGGAGAGCUGUUCCUGCCAGUGCCCUGAGCCUUGCGUCCUGGUGGGCCAGGAGCCAGUGUCCUGGGUCCUCCCUGAUUCUUUUGGUCCAGCCUCCCAGAG
Molecule: long non-coding RNA, 379 nt
Filed under: Homo sapiens (human)
Lineage: Eukaryota; Metazoa; Chordata; Mammalia; Primates; Hominidae
Description: HSALNT0054508
Source: RNAcentral